GCCCAGCACACAUGCCGGACGAGCACGGCCCCUUCCAGAGGUCACAGGCCCAGCACACAUGCCGGACGAGCACGGCCCCUUCCAGAGGUCACAGGCCCAGCACACACGCCGGAUGAGCGCGGCCACAGAGGCCCAGUAAGACCACCACACAUGGGGUCACGGCUGGAUCUCCCUCCCCAGGUGGCUUCAGGCUUCCAGGAAUAAGGCAGCACUGAUGCCUGCCCCCGCUCCCGGGGCCCCGGGGCUACCAGUGGUGUGGGAGGCCAUGGGUGCCCCAGGCAAGGGCCAGGACUCCCUGAGGCAGCACUGGGCGCUGCAGUCACCCCUGGGGGCAGAGACUGAGAAGACGGCUGGGGACGUGGGGGAAGCCAGGAGAUCCCUAGCCCAGAGGUCACACAGGGUCAUGGUGGGGUCAGGUGGGGUCAAGGUUGAACACGAGUGGCAGGUGCCCAGGUGAGAGCUGGCAGAGCAGCGUCUGUGGAGCCAGGGCUGCGGGGACUCGGAAGCAGGGGAGGGCAGGCCUGUGCACAGAGCCCUUGGCAUAACCAACUCCAUCUUAGAAAAAGACUCCAUUUUGUCUCACAGGGCACUCUACCGAGAAGGAAAAGAUGUUCUGUUUAAGAACCAAAAAGCAAAAAAA
Non-coding RNA from Chlorocebus sabaeus (green monkey), 640 nucleotides. NCBI's taxonomy places the organism in Eukaryota, Metazoa, Chordata, Mammalia, Primates, Cercopithecidae. The record is from RefSeq and is a predicted model, not a curated record.